GACGAACGCUGGCGGCGUGCUUAACACAUGCAAGUCGAACGGAAAGGCCCUGCUUUUGUGGGGUGCUCGAGUGGCGAACGGGUGAGUAACACGUGAGUAACCUGCCCUUGACUUUGGGAUAACUUCAGGAAACUGGGGCUAAGACCGGAUAGGGGCUCCUGCUGCAUGGUGGGGGUUGGAAAGUUUCGGCGGUUGGGGAUGGACUCGCGGCUUAUCAGCUUGUUGGUGGGGUAGUGGCUUACCAAGGCUUUGACGGGUAGCCGGCCUGAGAGGGUGACCGGCCACAUUGGGACUGAGAUACGGCCCAGACUCCUACGGGAGGCAGCAGUGGGGAAUAUUGCACAAUGGGCGGAAGCCUGAUGCAGCAACGCCGCGUGCGGGAUGACGGCCUUCGGGUUGUAAACCGCUUUAGCCUGUGACGAAGCGUGAGUGACGGUAAUGGGUAAAGAAGCACCGGCUAACUACGUG
Molecule: ribosomal RNA, 468 nt
Filed under: uncultured bacterium
Lineage: Bacteria
Description: partial 16S ribosomal RNA
Rfam family: Bacterial small subunit ribosomal RNA
Source: RNAcentral